GUAGAGUCUCAAGAGCUGGAAAAGGAUUUGAACUGCUCAUACUCUCCCCACAAAACUCACAAUCAACCGCUUUUACAUUGGGAAACCCUAUGAUAACCAAGUCCUUGAGAGAAGAAAGCAGCCCAAGUUGAGGCAAGGUUGUGCAGUUGCAAUUAAUAUUUCAACUCUAGGCAUACUAGAUUUCGAAAUAAAGGAUCCCCUACCCACGAAGGAAAUUGAAUACCACCAUAAUCAAUUAUGGUGAGUUUUUCCAAACUUUCAUGAGGUUUCAUCUUCUCAAGUACAACUCUUUCUUCGUUUGCAAUAGAAACCGAUCUACUUGCCAAAUAAGAAGUUCCGCAUGCCAUCUCCAGAUCAUCUAUUCUCCCCUUGUCCAAUAAAAUGGUUCCUCUUACAUUUGAAGCAUUAGCCACAUUAUCCAACCUUGAAAUGCNNNCCCCCGAAGAAACUUUAAAUUCUCCAAAGCUGUUAUACCCACUUCAUUACCUUCCCCCACAACAAAAUCAGACAAUGUCCGAAGACUUCUCAAUUUUUCCAUUCCCUGCGGCAUCACUUUAAGAGCUGUCCAUCGGAUAUCAAGAUGACGUAGGUUGAUCAGAUUUUGCAUUUCUGAUGGCAAUUUCUUUAGAUCAUUACAGCCUUUCAGCAGCAUAGUUUGUAAAUUACAUAGAGAGGUUGUUC
RNAcentral lists this unclassified non-coding RNA (681 nucleotides) under Hevea brasiliensis (rubber tree). The record is from RNAcentral. Lineage: Eukaryota; Viridiplantae; Streptophyta; Magnoliopsida; Malpighiales; Euphorbiaceae.